CCUCAAAUCAGGUAGGACUACCCGCUGAACUUAAGCAUAUCAAUAAGCGGAGGAAAAGAAACUAACAAGGAUUCCCCUAGUAACUGCGAGUGAAGAGGGAAGAGCUCAAAUUUAAAAUCUGUCAGUCUUUGGCUGGCCGAGUUGUAAAUUAGAGAAGUGCCUAUCUGCGCUGGCCUGUGCAAAAGUCUCUUGGAAAAGGGCAUCAUAGAGGGUGACAAUCCCGUCUUUGGUACAGAGCUCCAGGGCUUCAUGAUGCGCUCUCGAUGAGUCGAGUUGUUUGGGAAUGCAGCUCUAAAUGGGUGGUAAAUUCCAUCUAAAGCUAAAUAUUGGCGAGAAACCGAUAGCGCACAAGUACCGUGAGGGAAAGAUGAAAAGAACUUUGAAAAGAGAGUUAAACAGUACGUGAAAUUGUUGAAAGGGAAACGCUUGAAGUCAGUCGUGUCCUUCAGAAAUCAACCUGACCUUGGUCUGGCUUACUUUCUGGUGGAUGGGUCAGCAUCAAUUUUGAUCAUUGGAUAAAGGCCUUGGGAAAGUGACAUCUCCGGAUGUGUUAUAGCCCUUGGUUCAUAUACAGUGGUUGGGAUUGAGGAACUCAGUGUGAACUUGGGGGCUUUGGCCUACACACGCACUUG
This 632-nucleotide ribosomal RNA is filed under the name uncultured Basidiomycota. Its description in RNAcentral is "LSU rRNA". It matches the Rfam family "Eukaryotic large subunit ribosomal RNA", at positions 1 to 621 of the family's 3401-position model. The record is from RNAcentral. Lineage: Eukaryota; Fungi; Basidiomycota.